CCUACGGGAGGCAGCAGUCGAGAAUCAUUCACAAUGGGGGCAACCCUGAUGGUGCAACGCCGCGUGGAGGAAGACGGCCUUUGGGUUGUAAACUCCUGUCAUGUAGGAGUAAGUCAUGUUAGUUAAUAGCUGAGCAUGAUUGAUAGUACUACAAGAGGAAGGGACGGCAAACUUCGUGCCAGCAGCCGCGGUAAUACGAAGGUCCCAAGCGUUAUUCGGAAUCACUGGGCGUAAAGGGAGCGUAGCUGGUUGGGAAAGUCAGAUGUGAAAGGCAGGGGCUCACCCCCUGGACUGCAUUUGAAACUCCCCGACUAGAGAGACGGAGAGGUAGAUGGAAUUCUCGGUGUAGCAGUGAAAUGCGUAGAUAUCGAGAGGAAGACCAAUGGCGAAGGCAAUCUACUGGACGUUAUCUGACGGUGAGGCUCGAAGGCUAGGGGAGCGAAAGGGAUUAGAUACCCCUGUAGUCCUAGCAGUAAGCGGUGUGCGCUUGGUGUGGGAGGAAUCGACCCCUUCUGUGCCGGAGCUAACGCGUUAAGCGCACCGCCUGGGAAGUACGGCCGCAAGGCUAAAACUCAAAGGAAUUGACGG
RNAcentral lists this ribosomal RNA (588 nucleotides) under uncultured bacterium. RNAcentral's name for it is "bacterial SSU rRNA". It matches the Rfam family "Bacterial small subunit ribosomal RNA", at positions 338 to 916 of the family's 1533-position model. The record is from RNAcentral.